RNAcentral lists this microRNA (23 nucleotides) under Caenorhabditis elegans. RNAcentral's name for it is "cel-miR-66-5p". Its record names the gene cel-miR-66-5p. The record is from miRBase by way of RNAcentral. Lineage: Eukaryota; Metazoa; Nematoda; Chromadorea; Rhabditida; Rhabditidae.
CAUGACACUGAUUAGGGAUGUGA